RNAcentral lists this long non-coding RNA (9973 nucleotides) under Phaseolus vulgaris (common bean). RNAcentral describes it as "long non-coding RNA (PVUL_LNC001206)". Lineage: Eukaryota; Viridiplantae; Streptophyta; Magnoliopsida; Fabales; Fabaceae. The record is from RNAcentral.
UUCGAGCUGCUCUUCAAAUUUUCAGUAAGUUCAAAUAGUUUUUGUUUCAUCUUGAUUGCAGUUACAUGUUUAAUUUUCACUAUUUUUUAUUUAUUAUAUGAUUUUGGUUAUACUUUAUUUCUUAUUUUUAAAAUAUUUAAAAAUAUGAUUGUUUGUUAUGUUUAUAUUUAAUUUAUUGUGCUGUUUAUGUCAAUAUAUUUUGGUUUCUUAGGUUUAUAUCAGUAUGAUUUAGUUUGUUAUAAUUUUAUUUUAGUAUUUUAAUUACCUACUUUAUGUAUAUUUAUUUUUUAAUUUUAUAAUAUAUGUUUAAUAUUUUAAAAAAUUACUGUAUUUUAUAAUAUUAAUAUAUUAUGUUUAUGAUUUAUAGUUUAUUUGAUUAUAAUUUUUUUAUGAAAUUUUUUUCUAUUGUUAAUUAGUUACAUUUUUGUUAUUAUAGUAUUUUUUAUUUUUUUAUUAUUGUAGAUUUUUUAAUAUUAAAAUGUAUUUCUUUUAUAUAAGUUUUUAUUAUUUUAUAAUAUAUAUAUUUAAUGUUUUAAGAAAUUAGUUAUGUUUUUAUUUAAUUGGUAGUUGUGUUUAUAUUAGUAUAUUUUUGUGUAUAAGAUUUAUAAUUUAUUUGAUUAUAAUUUUGUAUAAUUUUUUUUAUUGUUAAUUGCGUUUUAUUUAUUUUUGUUGUUGUAAUAUUUUUUUAUUUUCCAUUAGUGCAGGUUUUUUAAUAUUAAAAAAACAAUAAUUUUUUGAUUUAUAUACAAUCCAAUUUAGUUUCUGAUUUAUUCUCCAAUUUUGUAGUACAGUUUUAAUGUUUUAAGAAAUUAUUUGAAGUUUUAUUUUUAUUUAACUUUUUUUGUGUUUAUAUUAAUAUUUUUUUUAUAUUUAUUAUUUUUAAGAAUUAUAAUUUAUUUGAUUAUAUCUUUUUUAAACUUUGUUAAUUACUUAUUAUGGUUACAUUUUUAUUGUUGUAGUAUUUUUUUAUUACUAUAAGAUUUUUUAAUAUUAAAAAUAAUACUUUUUAUUUAUAUAAGAUGUUGUUUAUUUUUUAAUUUUAUAGUAUAUGUUUAAUAUUUUAAAAAUUUAUUUGAAGUUCUAUUUUUAUUUAAUUUGUUGUGUUUAUAUUAAUAUAUUUUUGUGUUUAUGGUUUAUAAUUUAUUUGAUUAUAUUUUUUAUUGUUAAUUAAGUUAUAUUUUUUUAUUGUAGUAUUUUUUAUUUUUCAUUACUAAUUUUUUUAUAUUAGAAAAUAAUAUUUUUUAUUUAUAUAACAUCUGAAUUUUUUUUUAUAAUUUUAUAAUAUGUGUUUAAUAUUUUAAGAAAAUAUUUGAAAUUCAGUUUUUAUUUAAGUUGUUGUUCGGUUUAUAUUAAUACAUUUUUUAUAAUUAUUAUAUUUAUGAGUUAUAAUUUAUUUGAUUAUAAUUUUUUAUGAAACUUUUUAAUUUUUAAUUACUGAUUAUAGUUACAUUUUUGUUGUAGUAUUUUUUAUUUUCUAUUACUGCAAAAUUUUUAAAUAUUAAAAAGUAAUAUUUUUUAUUUAUAUGAGAUGUAAUUUAUUUUCUAAAUUUUAUAGUAUAUCUUUAAUAUUUUAAAAAAUUACUUGAAAUUAUGUGUUUAUUUAAUUUGUUAUUGUGUUUAUAUUAAUAUAUUUUUUAUAUAAUUAUUAUGUUUAUAAUUUAUAAUUUAUAAUUUAUUUGAUUAUAAUUUUUUUUCUAUUGUUAAUUACGUUAAUUUUUUUUUAGUAUUUUUUAUUUUUUUAUUAUUAUAAUUUUUUUAAUAUUAAAAACUAAUAUUUUUUUAUUUAUAUAAGAUGUGCUUUAUUUUUUAAUUUUAUAGUAUAUAUUUAAUAUUUUAAGAAAUUAUUUGAAAUUCUUUUUUUAUUUUAUUUGUUAUUAUGUUUAUAUUAAUAUAUUUUUUGUAUAAUUAUUAUGUUUAUGAGUUAUAAUUUUGUAUUAAUUUUUUUUCUAUUUUUUAUUAAAUUAUGAUGGUUAAAUUUUUGUGUUUUCUAUUAUUUUAUGGUUAUUGAUUAUGUUUAUAAUUUGUUAGUAUAUGUAUAAUAUUUAAGAAAUUUGUAAUCUUUAUAUUGAAUUUAUUGAUAUGUUUAUAUGAUUUUUUUAUAUUAAUAUUAUGUUGAUAUAUUAUUAAUAUUAAAAUUUGAAUGUUAUACUUAUUUAUAAAUUAAUUUUUGUGUAUUAAUAUAGUUAGUUAUUAUGUUAAUAAGAACUGUAACCCUAGCUUAUAUAAGACAUAAUUGUAUCGAUGAUGGAUAACAAUAACAAUUCGCAUCUACAUAACCAUUAUUGCAAUUUAUAACAAUGUUAUUCGAGGCAACAUCAAUCUAAAUUCCCAUAACCCAAAUUUGGAGUGAGAUUCAAAAUGUCCAGAAAAUAAUGACGAACAUGAAUUUGGAUAUCAACAUACAUACGUUUUGACAGGAUUUUAAAUGAUGCACAGAUUAGAAGAUCAAAUGAAUUAGAUUGAUCAUGAUUAACGAGAAUGACUAUAUUAUGAUUAUGUAUUCUUAUUUUUCAUGUCAAACAAUGUUACGUGAUGCAUCUUAUUAGAUGUUAAUGUUUUAUUGCUAGCUAUUAUUACUUAAUAUUUUUUUAAUGCAUUUUGAAUGUUUUUAUAUGUUAUUAAUUCAUAUAUCAUAAUAUUUCUAAAAGUAAAAUUAUUUUUACAAAAAUAUUUAAAUAUUCAAUUAAUUUUAAAAUAUAUUAACUUUUCAUAAGAAUAAUCAUAAUUACCAUUAUUAAUAAUAUUAUUAUAUAUCUAAAAUAUAUAUAGUUAAUAUAUAUAACAUAAUAUAAUACAAAUAAAAUAAUUUUAAAUAAUAUUAAAUUUAUCUAGAUACAAAUAUUAAUUAUAAACUAAUUGAACUAACAUAAUUUUUUAUUAUAUUAUUAAUAAAAUAAAAUAAUAAUAAUAAUAAACAAUAAAAAUAAUAUACUAAUGUUUCCGCCGGUUGACCAGAAUCGUCUUUGCGCGUGGCUUGUCCUCGCGAGUUAGGGCACCUUCGUUUUGCUCCGUCUGUGAGUACCUGAAAAGAAGUGAACAAAGGGGCGUCCUUGCGGCCGUUUGCACUCCGACAAUCAAGUCAGCUAGUGAGAAACAUCAAAAGGUGAUGCACCCCCGUAUCGGAACACUUGAACGAAUGCUCUGAGGGUGGUUGAAAACUGUGUAACUGAAUAACUAGUACUGAAGGGCUAAAACUGUGUUGCCCUAAUUGCCUUGUGCUCACUGUGAGUGUGCCGCGGAGACAACUAGGGUUUUUCUCUGUGUAUCUGCGUGUAUUAGGGUAAAAAGUCUCUCCCCCUCAAAUGCUCCCCAGGUCCCUUUUUAUACACCUCUCAUCUUUAAAGCGCGUUAAAGCGCAUUGAAAGCGUAUAAAAACAUUCUUUGGAACAUUCGAAUCUUAACUGAAUUAACGCGUACCUUGGCAAUCUUUCACUGGAACUUUAAUGAGCACGUGUGCCUUACCACGUGCCCUUCUGACUUGAUCGUUAUUCUGUGCAGAGGGUCCCACAGCGCCGCAACCCAACUUAGGGUUAUUCCAUCACGUGAGCCCUUGCGAAGUGCUUCUGGCACGUGGGUUGACUUUCUGGGUGCCAACUCAUGCGCCCCAAUCACUAGUUACUUGCCCUGGGGGUGGAUCUACCUUUCCCUAGUACCAUGCACGUGGUUCUCCCCUGGUUAUGGCCCCCUCAUGGGUUGUAUCUGUUCCAGGGUCUCCCAGCGGUGGCAUGGGUACUUCACCAGUCAGAAUAUCCCCUUUUGGUGCUAGACUCAUGGCCUUGAAGCCACCCUUCUCUUCACCUUACUUCUGUUCUGUAUGGCCGAGGCUCGAAGCCUCUCGGGCGAUGUCUUUACUCGGCGAAGUCUCUCUUUGGGCGAUGCCUUCCUUGGGCGACGGCUAUGCGAGGCACUAACUCGAGCGGUUAACCUGUUAACUUCUCUUCCUUGGGUCCCUCGAGGGCCCCCCACCACGCGUUGACUCUGACCUUUGGUCAAUGCCCGAUGACGGGACAGUACACAAGCCCCCCAGUCUUGAGCUGAAACUAGUUUCAGAGAAAAGACUAAGGCUAAGGCCUUGCCCCCGCUGUCCUUGUGAUACUUUGAUGACGCGUCACUCCUUGACUGGUUGACGUGACAUUUUCUGCACCGUCGGCGCAGCGCACCCUCGAGGACUCUGACAAUGUGAUAUUCUCUGAGCAAGAAAAGUGACUUUUCAGGUCGUGCCUUAAUCUUGUGACACGUGGCCCAAUUGCACGGUGCCCUUUUUGUGUCCUUUGGCGCCUCAACUGUAAUGUUUGGGUCUUUGAAAUCUCGUACUUGCACUCAUCGUUUCUACGUUUUCGCAUCUUCUUCGCACCGUUCAUCUUCCUUCCAAAGAGUUCUUCUUGCAUUCUUUUCUCGUUGACACUUCCCUUCUACACUACUACUGAACCUUUCUUCUUUGAUCUUUUAGUUCCUUCAUUUACAGCUUGUGCCAACAUGUCUACCAACCCUCCUUUUCCUAGAGUCAACCCUAAGGAUCUUUACGCGUGGACUUCGCGCGAACUUCUUGACGAGUGCUCGAGCUUACUUUCCGUCAGGGCCCGGAGGGAACAUGUGGGGGACCCGAGCACUUACGAUCACCGUGCCUUCCCGAAGAGAUACGAUGACGAUAUCGCCGUGCUUCCUUGUACCCUAGGAGAGCCGGUGUGUGGGGACGAGCGAGCCAACAAUGGAGUUCCCUUUUUUCUACUUCUACCAGGUGGUCUUUAAGUGCGUCGGUGUGCGCCUGCCUUUCUAUAGGUUCGAGAGAGAACUGCUGACGGAGAUCAAUGCUGCCCCAGCCCAACUGUAACCUAACAGCUGGGCCUUUGCCAAAGCCUUCAACAUUCUGUUCGGUUUCCAAGGGUGUGCACCCUCCGUUGACAUCUUUCUUCACUUCUUCGAAGUGAAAAGGCAAAGAAAUAACCUCUGGGUGACACUGAGCAAUGUUCCCGGUAGGGUCCUGUUGACCCCCUUCCAGCAAUCCUUCACGGGGUGGAAAGGCAAGUUCUUCAAGGUUUGUUGUUCCGACCUUGUGCCCUCUGCUCUAGACGACUUUCCCCUGUAUUGGGUGAGGGAGGCCAGAGCCCUGAAGUCCAAACCUCUUAAGAAGUUGCCUCCGAGGGAUCAGAAGGCUUGCCGGAUCUUUGCGGGUGCUGGAGGCUUUGACGUUGAUGCCUUGAUAAACCUGGAAUACAAUGCUGAGGCCUUGGAAAAAUACAUAUGUACGAGAAACUUCCCUUACGACCUUCCUAUUCCCUGCUUUGGCUAGACUCUUGCAUGAUUUUAAAUGCCUUAGUUUGUGCUCGUGACUACUGAAAUGCCUUCCUGUCGUGACUACUGAAAUGACCACUGGGUUAAUGUCGUGUGGGACCACAUCCCGCAGGUCAGCCCUCGUGAAAACGAGAUCUGACUCCCAUGGGUCAUCCGGAAAUUCUUCUACAAUCGUACUUACUGACCUCACAUAUUUCUUCCGUUGGGAGGCAGCGGGCCCUCCUCCAAAAAAGCCGUCAGAGAUGGUGUGCACUUCUCCGUGAGUUGAGACUUUAUGCGCUUGACUUUCCUCAGGCGUCGCCGGGGCUGUGGUCGCGGUGGACCCAGCGAGAUAAUCUUUCAAGAAACCAUUCUUCACAAGCUCGUCCAACUGAUAGCCCAACGCCAAACAGUUGUUAAUGUAGUGUCCAAACGCCUCGUGGAAUUCGCACCAUGAUUCUUUGUGAGGCCCCAGAAUUUUGUCAGACUUCACUGGUGGCCUCAACCUGUCAGCUAUGUUAGGCACGAUGAUGAGGUCUUUGAGCUCCACCACAAAGUUGUGCCUUAGCGAUCUACUUCCUUCUUUCAUUCCUUCGGCUCGCCCCCUUGGCGGGGCCCUUCUCGUCUCGUAAGUGCACUUCCUGUCUGAGCUUCUUUUCUCUGUGGUAGCUUCGUGGACCCUGGCAGGUUGUGUGCGUAUCUGCGCCCUUGGUCGCGCAGGUGCAGCAAUCAUACACUUCUCGUAUGGCUCGCCUUCCAAGGCUAUGUGCUCUAGCGCCCGACGCCUCACUUUAGCAAAUGUUUUGGGGCGGCUGCGGUUGAGCGAUUUGCUAAAAGAUCCGGGACGCACCCCCUUUCUAAAUGCGUACACGAUCAUGGGCUCUUAUGUGGUACCCACUUUUACCACCUGCGCUCCGAAACGACUUAUGUAUUCCUUCAGGGUCUCCCCUUGGAAUUGUUUUACGUCGAAAAGGUCAUACGAGACCGGGGCUGGGGCCUUGUUGGCUAAAUAUUGUUCUCUAAAUAGUCGUGAGAGUUGUGCGAAGGACGUGAUGUGACCCUCUGGGAGGCUGAUGAACCAAUCCAGGGCCAUCCCCGUCAAAGUGCUCAUGAAGAGCUUGCAUUUUACGGCAUUAGAGCCACCAACCAACAUCAUCUGCGUGUGGAACGCCGUGAGGUGUGCUUCGGGAUCCUCCAUCCCUGUGAAGGUCACCUUAGGCCCUAUGAACGUGCUGGGGAUUGUUGUCCCUAAGAUCGCCUGUGAGAACGGUGUUAUGAACUCCCUAGGUGGGGAGGCAGGGAAUAGGAAGGUCGUAAGGGAAGUUUCUCGUACAUAUGUAUUUUUCCAAGGCUUAUCAAGGCAGCAACGUCAAAGCCUCCAACACCCGCUGUUCCGUCCGGUUGAGCGGGACGUCUUCGUGCGCGACCUCAACCGUCAGCUAGGGACACCUUCCCACUGGUUGCCUAUGGAUUCCUGCAAAAAAGAGGACAAAGAGGCGCCCUAGCGGCCGUGUGCACUCCGACGCUCAAGUCAGCCAGCAAGAAACACCAAAAACUGUCCACCUACGUGUCUGAGCACCGCAUGUGGCACUCUGAAGGUGGUAAACGAAGGAAUAUAUAUUUGUAUGUGUAUGUGAUCCAUGUUUAGUUUUACAAUAUAUAAAUUUUAUUAUAAUUCAUAUUCUUGAUGCUUAUCAUAUUUGUUUGAUAAUAUGAACAUGACAAAUGAUAAAGUUUCUCGUUCAAAAACUGGUAGAGGACCUACAAGAUUAAAGAAUGUGUUUAAGAAGAUAAAUAAAUAUGACAAAAUAUCAUUGUCUAUUGAUGUCAACACUGAUGUGACCAUUGGGCCAUAUGCAAAGAAAUUUAGGAGUUAUCUCGGAGUAAUGUCUCGUGAAAGGAUCUCUAUCUUAACUGAGUCCUGGGAUCACGUGACCGAACACGAGAGAAACAUGAUUUAAUUUGACAGGAUAUUCUAGUAUGUAAUUGUUUUUACUUUAUUCAAUCUAAAGUUCUUUUUUACUUUGUUCUUAUUUAUGAACUAAUUAUCCCAAAUAAUGUAGACGCAUUACAAGAUCCCGAAUGUGGAAACCUUGAAAGCGAAGGUUCUUUCUGAUGUGGGUGUUAAGUUUCGUCAGUUCAAAUCAAAAUUGGCAAUAGAUUUUAUAUAUGGUGAAAGGAAAGAAGAUAAUCAUUAUACAAAAUAUGCAUUCAUUGAUGAAGAAACUUGGCAGCAGUUUGUGCAGAUUUGACAAACUGAAAAAUGGUAGGUUAAUAUCACUUGUUAUAUGUGGAUAUAGUUUCUAUUAAAUGUUGAUGAUAGGAUGUUCGAAACAAAGCAAAAGCUGGUCAGACACAUAAUGAUACCCCACACUUAUUGUCCCGUGGUCGUUAUAAGUUGUUAGAGUAGAAGAUGUUUGAAGAAAAGAUUAAAGCACAUUCUACUUCGAUUGAUGAAAUGAAUAGUGUAGAUUCUUUGAGGCCUCCUUCCCCACCACUCCGACAUGAGAUGUGGAAGGGUGCCCGUAUAAAGCCACCAGGGACAUGGAGUUCUAAGUCUAUAGAACAAACAGUUGAACAAAUUGUAAGAAAUAUGUUUCUAUGUGUUAUUUUAAAUUCAAUGUGUUGAAGUUUGACAAUUUCUUUUCAUUUGUUUUAGAAUUCUCUUGCUGAGCAAUCAACACAGGGGACUUUUAAUCCAUGUGGUCACAAAGAUAUUCUUAAUGUUGCUCUCGGACGACCUGAGCACCCUAGACGUGUUUGUGUAGUUGGAUAUGGGGUUCGGAUUCGGUUAUACUUUGGACCUUCAUCACAUAGCAAGGAACAAUCGUCCAGUCAACCUAGCCAAGAGUAUUUACUACAGUUACGUGAACAGAUAAAGCCCGAGGUAACUUAAGAGCUUAGAGAAAGCGUAAUAGAUGAGUUUAAUAAGCGAAUGGAAAGGGAGUUCGAAAAGCAGUGGGAGGGUUUAAGACUCUCACAACAACACCUACUACGGUAGAAGAUGAACCACCUUCGCCUCCUAUUAAGAAAGUCAACACUAAAGGGAGUUGUUCGGCGGUUGAUCUAUCGGGAGAUGACUUUGGCUCUCAACUAGCCAAUGCGAGUUAUAUGUUGAGUGUAAUUCUUUGACCCAAUUCGUUGCCCUGGUAAGUGUUAUGAAGGGGUCACAAUGUGCCUCUUCCUUCUAAUUUCAUAAAGGUCACGGUGGAGAAGGUCCUUUAUGGUGAUGUUGCAGUUCCUGUGCCGACAUCAGAGGUCACAAUUGUAACAGAGGCAUUACAUACUUUAGUUGUCUGGCCUAGACAUCUCGUCAGACCUAUAGACUCUACGAUAUAUCUUUGCACUAAUACUAAUAGGAUUAUAUAUCAGAUAUAUUACAUUCUAACUAAUUUAAGUAUUUGUUUGUUGAACCUAAGACAAAAUUGCCUCUACGGAAGAAAAUAUUCUCCAUUGAUGAUCAUGUGGUGACAUUGGUGGAAGUUGUUACAGCUUUAGAUACAACCGUCUUAGAGGUUCCAUGGGAUGCCAAUGUUUUUGGAAGGCAUAGUGAUGUACCGUUGUACUUUCACAAGUCUGAUUUGUUGGACCUUGCAUCCGUUGAUUAACAUAACAUUUCUGCAAUUAUGGAUGAUGUAAGUUCAAAUAUUAAAAUCUUUAUACUUUUGAUUUAUUAAAUAUAUUAGUACUACCUUAUUGAAAUUUAGGUAUUUGUGUGGAUUAUGCUUCGACGAGGGGAAACACAAUAUAUAUGGAUUUUUAGACCCUCAAGUCAUUCAAUUAAUUGGAAACAAAAAGCUAGAAACACAAACAUACAUCACCACUGCCUUAAAGAAUGGAGAAAAACAAAUUUAUUUUGCUCCGUACAUCCAUGAGUAAGUCUUUAUUUAUUAAAUAAGUUAUACUAAAUUAUUGACAUAAGAGAAACUAACUGAUUUGUUAUAUAGGUGUCAUUGACAACUAUUGAUCAUAUAUGUUCAAGAUCAUACCGCUGCAUGGUUUUACUCAUUGCAUAAAAAACCCCUACCUAUUUUAAACACAUUAUAGAUAGGUAUGACAGUUUCAUUUAACAUUUAUUAUUACUUAUUCAUUAUAUAAUGUUUUGUAUUCUAAUAUGAAAUCUUAUUAUAUUAGUGUUUACUCUGGAUAUAACAUGUUGAGUGGGAGUUGAAGUGCAAACGCACAAAGACUCACUUGGAGUGUAAUUCUUUCACCCGACUUGUUGCCCUGGGUAAGUGUUAUGAAGGGGUCACAAUGUGUCUCUUCCUUCUAAUUUCAUAAAGGUCACGGUGGAGAAGGUCGUUUAUGGUGAUGUUGUAGUUUUUGUGUUGACAUCAGAGGUCAUAAUUGUAGCAGAGGCAUUACAUACUUUCGUUGUCUGGCCUAGACAUCUCGUCAGAGCUAUAGACUUUACGUUAUAUCUUUGCACUAAUACUAAUAGAAUUAUAUAUCAUAUAUAUAUUACAUUCUAACUAAUGUAAGUAUUUUUUUGUUUGUUAAUGAGUAGCAGGAACCUCAGACAAAACUGUCUCUGUGAAAGAAGAAAAUAUUCUACAUUGAUGAUCCUGUGACGACAUUGGUGGAAGUUGCUACAACUUUACAUACAACCGUCUUAAAGAUUCCAUGAGAUGCCAAUAUUUUUGGAAGGCAUAGUGAUGUACAGUUGUACUUUCAACGGUAGUGAUGUACCAUUGUACUUUCC